UUUUCGAAAGUUAUACAUCGUCGGAAAGGCCAUUUAAAGACGCGUCGAUAGACCCAAAGGGUCACUCAAGUUUCUCAAAAACGUCGGAGUUAUGGCCGUAAGUGUUUUUCGAGACAUUUGGGGUAAUAACUCCGAAAAGUCGAGGUCACAUGUCGGGGUCGAGGGGCAAUUUCGAAAGCCAAAGAACGCGGCUUUCCAACGAUACCUCACACUUUAAGAUCGACUCGCGAAUAACGAGGGGGCAGCCUCUCAAAGAUUGCCAAAUUUUGUCAAAAUUUUCAAAAAUUUUUUUCUCAAAAACCAAAAGGCCGAUCGAGGAACGGAUUACUUAUUUCUUAAACGCCGGUCGAGUAGAGCGCACAAAAAAAUUACGGUCCAAAUCGCAGACAAAAAAUUUUUUUCAUAAUCAUCCCUUGGUCCCCCCUUCCUAUUUAAAAAAAAAAACUUUUUUAUUUACCGUCCGAUUUUCAAAAUUCGACCGGCGUUGGAUAGAUCUCGUCGAAAAAGCAAAAAUCCAAUCAUAAAACGUUCGGGGUCAUAUAUAAACGAGGGCGCUAGAGGGCGAUUUAGGGGAUGACAAAAAAAUUAAAAAUUGACGAAAUUUGGCACACACGUUUGUACGGACCUUAGAAAGUCUCCGGUACAACUUUUACCCCUUUACGACCAAAGGGAAGGGUAAUAGGGGGUGAUAAUAGGUUAGAGGUUAGGUUAGAGGUUAGGUUAGAGGUUAGGUUAGAGGUUAGGUUAGAGGUUAGGUUAGAGGUUUGGUUAGAGGUUAGGUUAGAGGUUAGGUUAGAGGUUAUGUUAGGUUAGGUUAGAGGUUAGGUAGCAUUGAAAGCAUGCUGCGAAAUAAAAUUACUAUCUGAUUAGGAGAAUACAAAUUCACUACUAAACUUGGAUUUAUACUCAGUAGCCGGCUAACAUUCAACGUGAGGGUCGUAAAGUUCGGUAUUCUGCCAGGAAAACUUGCUACUACAAAACUCAAAUCUUAAGGGCGCCAGAUCUAGCGAGGUAAUAAAUCCUCUUGAUCAAGGAGGAUAGGCUCUUCCAAGCAUAGCAUAAUGAAGGUGAAAAAAACUAGGUAUUGUGGCAGAGAGGAAUUUAAUACGUCUGUAUUUCGAUUUAAAAUUAAAUAUGAUUAUUAUGUAACUACAAAUUAUAAUUGUGGUGUGAAGCACGGUAACAAUAAUAAGAAAAAAAACUAAUAGGAUUAAUUCGUCCACACCGCAAAUAAUCAACAGUGUCAACAAUAUCUUACUACGGUAAUUAAUACGGGUUCUGGAUUCGCUAGCUAGCCCCGCACCCUGUUUAUAUUUGGGCCAAAUAGAGGUUCGUACAAAUAGACCUCCCAAACUGAGAACAAAACGAAUUUUCCUUCACAGGUAAGUAUUAUCAUGAAUGUAAUUAUUUGUAAUUAAAUGGUAAGAAUUAACUCUUUUGAUUUCAGUUUACAUAGCCCUUGAAGAGGGUUCAUCAACUCAAAGCCACAAAAAUUAACAAACGCAGAUGCAGCAAGGUAAGGUACCAGUAAGUGCCAGAUUUUAGGCAGCGGAACAAAAAAAGCUGAAAGUUAUGAGAUACUCUAUAUCUAGCUUAAGAGAUACCUAAUUCUUACCUAGAUGUUAUAGCUUGCAACUCGUCCGCAAUGUUCUAAACUACAAAUUACAAAGUUUUAAUACUACA
This is a long non-coding RNA of Photinus pyralis (common eastern firefly), 1683 nucleotides long. RefSeq lists it as uncharacterized. The transcript has 2 exons. NCBI's taxonomy places the organism in Eukaryota, Metazoa, Arthropoda, Insecta, Coleoptera, Lampyridae. The record is from RefSeq and is a predicted model, not a curated record.